RNAcentral lists this ribosomal RNA (505 nucleotides) under uncultured bacterium. RNAcentral describes it as "partial 16S ribosomal RNA". It matches the Rfam family "Bacterial small subunit ribosomal RNA", at positions 28 to 507 of the family's 1533-position model. The record is from RNAcentral.
GACGAACGCUGGCGGCGUGCCUAAUACAUGCAAGUAGAACGCACAGUUUAUACCGUAGCUUGCUACACCAUAGACUGUGAGUUGCGAACGGGUGAGUAGCGCGUAGGUAACCUGCCUGGUAGCGGGGGAUAACUAUUGGAAACGAUAGCUAAUACCGCAUAAUAUUAAUUAUUGCAUGAUAAUUAAUUGAAAGGUGCAAUUGCACCACUACCAGAUGGACCUGCGUUGUAUUAGCUAGUAGGUGAGGUAACGGCUCACCUAGGCGACGAUACAUAGCCGACCUGAGAGGGUGAUCGGCCACCCUGGGACUGAGACACGGCCCAGACUCCUACGGGAGGCAGCAGUAGGGAAUCUUCGGCAAUGGACGAAAGUCUGACCGAGCAACGCCGCGUGAGUGAAGAAGGUUUUCGGAUCGUAAAGCUCUGUUGUAAGAGAAGAACGGGUGUGAGAGUGGAAAGUUCACACUGUGACGGUAUCUUACCAGAAAGGGACGGCUAACUACGUG